GACGAACGCUGGCGGCGUGCCUAAUACAUGCAAGUAGAACGCUGAAGAGAGGAGCUUGCUCUUCUUGGAUGAGUUGCGAACGGGUGAGUAACGCGUAGGUAACCUGCCUUGUAGCGGGGGAUAACUAUUGGAAACGAUAGCUAAUACCGCAUAACAAUGGAUGACACAUGUCAUUUAUUUGAAAGGGGCAAUUGCUCCACUACAAGAUGGACCUGCGUUGUAUUAGCUAGUAGGUGAGGUAAUGGCUCACCUAGGCGACGAUACAUAGCCGACCUGAGAGGGUGAUCGGCCACACUGGGACUGAGACACGGCCCAGACUCCUACGGGAGGCAGCAGUAGGGAAUCUUCGGCAAUGGGGGCAACCCUGACCGAGCAACGCCGCGUGAGUGAAGAAGGUUUUCGGAUCGUAAAGCUCUGUUGUAAGUCAAGAACGGGUGUGAGAGUGGAAAGUUCACACUGUGACGGUAGCUUACCAGAAAGGGACGGCUAACUACGUGCCAGCAGCCGCGGUAAUACGUAGGUCCCGAGCGUUGUCCGGAUUUAUUGGGCGUAAAGCGAGCGCAGGCGGUUUGAUAAGUCUGAAGUUAAAGGCUGUGGCUCAACCAUAGUUCGCUUUGGAAACUGUCAAACUUGAGUGCAGAAGGGGAGAGUGGAAUUCCAUGUGUAGCGGUGAAAUGCGUAGAUAUAUGGAGGAACACCGGUGGCGAAAGCGGCUCUCUGGUCUGUAACUGACGCUGAGGCUCGAAAGCGUGGGGAGCGAACAGGAUUAGAUACCCUGGUAGUCCACGCCGUAAACGAUGAGUGCUAGGUGUUGGAUCCUUUCCGGGAUUCAGUGCCGCAGCUAACGCAUUAAGCACUCCGCCUGGGGAGUACGACCGCAAGGUUGAAACUCAAAGGAAUUGACGGGGGCCCGCACAAGCGGUGGAGCAUGUGGUUUAAUUCGAAGCAACGCGAAGAACCUUACCAGGUCUUGACAUCCCGAUGCUAUUUCUAGAGAUAGAAAGUUACUUCGGUACAUCGGUGACAGGUGGUGCAUGGUUGUCGUCAGCUCGUGUCGUGAGAUGUUGGGUUAAGUCCCGCAACGAGCGCAACCCCUAUUGUUAGUUGCCAUCAUUCAGUUGGGCACUCUAGCGAGACUGCCGGUAAUAAACCGGAGGAAGGUGGGGAUGACGUCAAAUCAUCAUGCCCCUUAUGACCUGGGCUACACACGUGCUACAAUGGUUGGUACAACGAGUUGCGAGUCGGUGACGGCGAGCUAAUCUCUUAAAGCCAAUCUCAGUUCGGAUUGUAGGCUGCAACUCGCCUACAUGAAGUCGGAAUCGCUAGUAAUCGCGGAUCAGCACGCCGCGGUGAAUACGUUCCCGGGCCUUGUACACACCGCCCGUCACACCACGAGAGUUUGUAACACCCGAAGUCGGUGAGGUAACCUUUUGGAGCCAGCCGCCUAAGGUGGGACAGAUGAUUGGGGUGAA
Molecule: ribosomal RNA, 1472 nt
Filed under: Streptococcus thermophilus
Lineage: Bacteria; Bacillati; Bacillota; Bacilli; Lactobacillales; Streptococcaceae
Description: bacterial SSU rRNA
Rfam family: Bacterial small subunit ribosomal RNA
Source: RNAcentral